Molecule: ribosomal RNA, 465 nt
Filed under: Vreelandella stevensii
Lineage: Bacteria; Pseudomonadati; Pseudomonadota; Gammaproteobacteria; Oceanospirillales; Halomonadaceae
Description: partial 16S ribosomal RNA
Rfam family: Bacterial small subunit ribosomal RNA
Source: RNAcentral
CCUACGGGAGGCUGCAGUGGGGAAUAUUGGACAAUGGGCGAAAGCCUGAUCCAGCCAUGCCGCGUGUGUGAAGAAGGCCUUCGGGUUGUAAAGCACUUUCAGUGGGGAAGAAAGCCUUGGGGCUAAUACCCUCGAGGAAGGACAUCACCCACAGAAGAAGCACCGGCUAACUCCGUGCCAGCAGCCGCGGUAAUACGGAGGGUGCGAGCGUUAAUCGGAAUUACUGGGCGUAAGGCGCGCGUAGGCGGUCUGAUAAGCCGGUUGUGAAAGCCCCGGGCUCAACCUGGGAACGGCAUCCGGAACUGUCAGGCUAGAGUGCAGGAGAGGAAGGUAGAAUUCCCGGUGUAGCGGUGAAAUGCGUAGAGAUCGGGAGGAAUACCAGUGGCGAAGGCGGCCUUCUGGACUGACACUGACGCUGAGGUGCGAAAGCGUGGGUAGCAAACAGGAUUAGAUACCCCGGUAGUC